AUUGAACGCUGGCGGCAGGCCUAACACAUGCAAGUCGAACGGUAACAGGAAGAAGCUUGCUUCUUUGCUGACGAGUGGCGGACGGGUGAGUCAUGUCUGGGAAACUGCCUGAUGGAGGGGGAUAACUACUGGAAACGGUAGCUACUACCGCAUAACGUCGCAAGCCCAAAGAGGGGGAGCUUCGGGCCUCUUGCCAUGGGAUGUGCCCAGAUGGGAUUAGCUAGUAGGUGGGGUAACGGCUCACCUAGGCGACGAUCCCUAGCUGGUCUGAGAGGAUGACCAGCCACACUGGAACUGAGACACGGUCCAGACUCCUACGGGAGGCAGCAGUGGGGAAUAUUGCACAAUGGGCGCAAGCCUGAUGCAGCCAUGCCGCGUGUAUGAAGAAGGCCUUCGGGUUGUAAAGUACUUUCAGCGGGGAGGAAGGGAGUAAAGUUAAUACCUUUGCUCAUUGACGUUACCCGCAGAAGAAGCACCGGCUAACUCCGUG
This 490-nucleotide ribosomal RNA is filed under the name uncultured bacterium. RNAcentral's name for it is "partial 16S ribosomal RNA". It matches the Rfam family "Bacterial small subunit ribosomal RNA", at positions 30 to 507 of the family's 1533-position model. The record is from RNAcentral.